RNAcentral lists this ribosomal RNA (467 nucleotides) under uncultured bacterium. RNAcentral describes it as "partial 16S ribosomal RNA". It matches the Rfam family "Bacterial small subunit ribosomal RNA", at positions 28 to 506 of the family's 1533-position model. The record is from RNAcentral.
GACGAACGCUGGCGGCGUGCUUAACACAUGCAAGUCGAACGGAAAGGCCCUGCUUUUGUGGGGUGCUCGAGUGGCGAACGGGUGAGUAACACGUGAGUAACCUGCCCUUGACUUUGGGAUAACUUCAGGAAACUGGGGCUAAUACCGGAUAGGAGCUCCUGCUGCAUGGUGGGGGUUGGAAAGUUUCGGCGGUUGGGGAUGGACUCGCGGCUUAUCAGCUUGUUGGUGGGGUAGUGGCUUACCAAGGCUUUGACGGGUAGCCGGCCUGAGAGGGUGACCGGCCACAUUGGGACUGAGAUACGGCCCAGACGCCUACGGGAGGCAGCAGGGGGGAAUAUUGCACAAUGGGCGGAAGCCUGAUGCAGAAACGCCGCGUGCGGGAUGACGGCCUUCGGGUUGUAAACCGCUUUCGCCUGUGACGAAGCGUGAGGGACGGGAAUGGGUAAAGAAGCACCGGUGAACUACGU